GAAAUGCGAUAAGUAAUGUGAAUUGCAGAAUUCAGUGAAUCAUCGAAUCUUUGAACGCACCUUGCGCUCCUUGGUAUUCCUUGGAGCAUGCCUGUUUGAGUAUCAUGAAAUCUUCAAAGUAAAUCUUUUGUUAACUCAAUUGGUUUCUACUUUGGUAUUGGAGGUCUUUGCAGCUUCACACCUGCUCCUCUUUGUUCAUUAGCUGGAUCUCAGUGUUAUGCUUGGUUCCACUCGGCGUGAUAAGUUAUCUAUCGCUGAGGACACUGUAAAAGGUGGCCAAGGUAAAUGCAGAUGAACCGCUUCUAAUAGUCCAUUGACUUGGACAAUACUUUUAUGAUCUGAUCUCAAAUCAGGUAGGAAUACCCGCUGAACUUGAGC
This 378-nucleotide unclassified non-coding RNA is filed under the name plant metagenome. Its description in RNAcentral is "partial contains 5.8S ribosomal RNA, internal transcribed spacer 2, and large subunit ribosomal RNA". The stretch from base 1 to 105 matches the Rfam family "5.8S ribosomal RNA", at positions 50 to 154 of the family's 154-position model. The record is from RNAcentral.